AAUCAACGCUGGCGGCGUGCCUAACACAUGCAAGUCGAACGCGAAAGUGGAGCAAUCCAUUAGUAGAGUGGCAAACGGGUGAGUAACGCGUGGGCGACCUGCCUUCGAGUGGGGGAUAACCUUCCGAAAGGAGGGCUAAUACCGCAUGACAUAUCGUAUUUAGAUAUACGGAUAUCAAAGCCGGGGAUCGUAAGACCUGGCGCUUGAAGAGGGGCUCGCGUCCGAUUAGCUAGUUGGUGGGGUAAAGGCUCACCAAGGCUUCGAUCGGUAUCCGGCCUGAGAGGGCGGACGGACACACUGGAACUGAGACACGGUCCAG
This 319-nucleotide ribosomal RNA is filed under the name uncultured bacterium. RNAcentral describes it as "bacterial SSU rRNA". It matches the Rfam family "Bacterial small subunit ribosomal RNA", at positions 32 to 334 of the family's 1533-position model. The record is from RNAcentral.